UAUGCAACAUUCCUGUGUUGUUGUUUUUUGUUUUUUUUAUCAUAAUCAAAGUACAUUAAUAUGAAGAAACUUCACGAAUUCUUCUCAACGUUUUAAAUAUUUGACCAAUGGAGGCUGCUGUAAGAGGUCUGAAAGCUUGCAAUUAAAAGAAAUUUUAAAACGUAGGGAAGAGUGCGCGUAUUUUUUACACGCAAUAUUCCUAUUUGUUUCCAAACGGAGAAGUUAAGAAUGUAAAUAUUCAUGGCUCAAUCCAUGUGGUGGAUACAUCGCAGAUAAUCCAUGGUGUAGCUGUGUGCUUAAACAAAAAUAUGAAAUUAUUGAUAGAACCCUACGUUAUGUGAAGAAAUGGUAGAAAACACAGUUUUAUUAUAAAGAAUGUGAGUUUUGUUGGGUUACUCUCCCUGGAGAACUGUUGUUACAAGGAUUUUAUUUGAGAAGUAUGGAUUUUCUCUUUACCAAAAUCACCAUCAAAAUAACAGAAAGCAUACUUUACUGGAAUUAAUAAGUAUACAAAUGAGUACUGUAAAUAACAUUCAGAACUUUUGGUUUUGCAAACUAAAAGACAAAAGUAAGUAAGUUUGAAGAGGAAUUUUUAAGUUUUUUUUUUUUUUUAAUUGGAACUUAUAUUUGUAACCAGCACCUAUAUAAAUAAUAAGACAGGUAAAAAUAUUGGGCAAAACUGAUGUUGAAACAUUUGCUAACUGUUAGAUAAUACUAGAUAUUAAAAAGAAGACAUCAUCAUGUUAUUUCUACACAAUAAUAGGUCUAGGAGAGAUCUCUUUGUGUAACUGCUAGAUACUGAAGGAGAGAUCUCUUUGUGUAACUGCUAGAUGAUAUACUAGAUGUUGAAGGAGAGAUCUCUUUGUGUAACUGCUAGAUGAUAUACUAGAUGUUGAAGGAGAGAUCUCUUUGUGUAACUACUAGAUGUUGAAGGAGAGAUCUCUUUGUGUAACUGCUAGAUGUUGAAGGAGAGAUCUCUUUGUGUAACUGCUAGAUAUUGAAGGAGAGAUCUCUUUGUGUAACUGCUAGAUAUUGAAGGAGAGAUCUCUUUGUGUAACUGCUAGAUAUUGAAGGAGAGAUUUCUUUGUGUAACUGCUAGAUGUUGAAGGAGAGAUCUCUUUGUGUAACUGCUAGAUGAUAUACUAGAUGUUGAAGGAGAGAUCUCCUUGUGUAACUGCUAGAUGUUGAAGGAGAGAUCUCAUCAUGGAACUGCUACAUGAUACUGUAUUGUAAUAUUGUUUUAAACAAUUUAUAAAACUAAAAUAUCAGAAUGCUGUAAGAAACUAUAGUAACUAUAUUUCUUAAUAAUGUGUCUGACCCUUUUUAUAAAUAGAUUAGUUGUAUUUAUUGACUUUAUAAAGUUUAUUAGUUUCAUUGUCUUAAUAUCCAGUGUAUUGUUUAAAAAAUAAACAAGUUGGGCUACUGUAGGACAUAUAUUGCUCUAGCAGGGUAAAAGUUAUCUAUCUGUACACAUUAAGAAGUAUUGCAUUGUGUCAGUAAGUACAAGUAAAUUUUGUUAUAUUUAAUAAUAAUUAAACUAGGCUUGUGUUAGUAUGUUGUCAAACAUCAUGACAAUAUUUAAUACAGAGUUUAGUUCUAUAGCUUUAAUGACAUUUAAUACUUUCAAUUUCUAGACCAAACAACGUAGACAAUCCAGAAAUUCAAAUUUUACUAGACAUUGAAGAAAGAGGGAGACUGGAUGUUCAACAAAAUGAAAAUUUUAUAUAUGGUGUUCAAAAUGGCAAGACACAGCAAUCAUGACAUUCAGAUUUUGAAUAAUGUUAGCUAUGAAAGUAUAGCAGAGUUGUCUGUUAACAGUGGUUAAAACUUGUGACAGGAGAAGCAGCAGAGUUGUUUGUUAACAGUGGUUAAAACUUGUGACAGGAGAAGCAGCAGAGUUGUCUGUUAACAGUGGUUAAACCUUGUGACAGGAGAAGCAGCAGAGUUGUCUGUUAACAGUGGUUAAACCUUGUGACAGGAGAAGCAGCAGAGUUGUUUGUUAACAGUGGUUAAAACUUGUGACAGGAGAAG
RNAcentral lists this long non-coding RNA (2031 nucleotides) under Limulus polyphemus (Atlantic horseshoe crab). Its description in RNAcentral is "uncharacterized LOC111089363". Lineage: Eukaryota; Metazoa; Arthropoda; Merostomata; Xiphosura; Limulidae. The record is from RNAcentral.